Pelobates cultripes (western spadefoot toad) is the source of this 209-nucleotide non-coding RNA. Lineage: Eukaryota; Metazoa; Chordata; Amphibia; Anura; Pelobatidae. The record is from the annotation of a GenBank genome assembly.
CUAACACUCACACACACUAACACUCACACACACUAACACUCACACACACUAACACUCACACACACUCUAACACUCACACACACUCUAACACUCACACACUCUCUAACCAUCACACACACUAACACUCACACACACUAACACUCACACACACACACUCUAACACUCACACACUAACACUCACACACACUAACACACACUCUAACACUCAC